This 107-nucleotide ribosomal RNA is filed under the name Acanthosepion pharaonis. Lineage: Eukaryota; Metazoa; Mollusca; Cephalopoda; Sepiida; Sepiidae. The record is from RNAcentral.
UUACGGCUAUAUCACGUUGAAUCACCGGUUCUCGUACGAUCACUGAAGUUAAGCAACGUCAAGCUUGGUCAGUACCUAGAUGGGUGAACGUUUGGGAGUAACAGAUG